This 253-nucleotide ribosomal RNA is filed under the name uncultured bacterium. Its description in RNAcentral is "partial 16S ribosomal RNA". It matches the Rfam family "Bacterial small subunit ribosomal RNA", at positions 524 to 776 of the family's 1533-position model. The record is from RNAcentral.
UACGGGGGGGGUAAGCGUUGUUCGGAAUUAUUGGACGUAAAGCGCGCGUAGGCGGUUACUUAAGUCGGAUGUGAAAGCCCUCGGCUUAACUGAGGAAGUGCACCCGAAACUGAGUAGCUAGAGUACGAAAGAGGGUCGCGGAAUUCCCGGUGUAGAGGUGAAAUUCGUAGAUAUCUGGAGGAACACCGGUGGCGAAGGCGGCAUCCUGGACCGGUAUUGACGCUGAGGCGCGAAAGCCAGGGGAGCAAACGGG